Molecule: unclassified non-coding RNA, 245 nt
Filed under: uncultured Schizothecium
Lineage: Eukaryota; Fungi; Ascomycota; Sordariomycetes; Sordariales; Lasiosphaeriaceae
Description: sequence contains ITS2
Source: RNAcentral
AACGCACAUUGCGCCCGCUAGUAUUCUGGCGGGCAUGCCUGUUCGAGCGUCAUUUCAACCAUCAAGCCCCCGGCUUGCGUUGGAGCCCUGCGGCUGCCGCAGGCUCCCAAAUCCAGUGGCGGGCUCGUCGUCGUACCGAGUGCAGUAAACAUCCUCGCUCAGGGAACGCGUCGGGUUCUUGCCGUGAAACACCCCCCCACAUCAAGGUUGACCUCGGAUCAGGUAGGAAUACCCGCUGAACUUAA